This is a long non-coding RNA of Erpetoichthys calabaricus (reedfish), 416 nucleotides long. RefSeq lists it as uncharacterized. The record is from RefSeq and is a predicted model, not a curated record. NCBI's taxonomy places the organism in Eukaryota, Metazoa, Chordata, Cladistia, Polypteriformes, Polypteridae. The transcript is spliced from 2 exons.
GGCAACCAUGACAUCACCCUCUGGCUGUUUAGAGCAAAACCAAAGGAAAGCUCAGACAUGGCACAUUAAAGUCUAUUGGAGUUAUUAACUAAAGAAGACAAACAAUAACUCACCAUCCAUAUUUCCGGUCACUCAAAAUGGCUUCCACACAAUAAUCCCGGCUUCGUAUUCCAGCGAUGAUGUCACUUCCGGUUCUCCUGAGAAGACGGCACUUCCAGCUCCACCAUGAUGAUGUCACUUCCGUCCAUCUGCUUGUGAUGUAAUUUCCUGUCAACCUAAUUUCCUGCCACCAUUUUGUAUAAAAACCCAAUGUAUUCAAGUCUCAACUGUCAAAUGUUCUUACUUUUGAUCCUUUUUUGCCAUUUUUAAACUAAUUUUUGUCCCAGGACAUUAUACGGGGUCAUUCCCCAACUCUU